Molecule: long non-coding RNA, 1133 nt
Filed under: Triticum aestivum (bread wheat)
Lineage: Eukaryota; Viridiplantae; Streptophyta; Magnoliopsida; Poales; Poaceae
Description: long non-coding RNA (TAES_LNC021490)
Source: RNAcentral
CCAUGUGUUAGAGUUGUGUCGAAUAUUAUUGUACAAGUUAGGUUAUAGUUGGACUUAGAGUCGUAUGGUGUGUAGACAUGAUAUGGAGCCGUGUCCAAGUAGGACACUUGUAUCCUAGGCCUCUCAUAUAUAGCGGGGAUAGACACAUGAUGUAACAUAUGCCAACAUAAUAGCACAGGCACGCGGGGGAACCGGCGGUGUGUGCCGGUGCCCGAGCGGCGGGGUGCAGUAUUGUAGCGGUAUCACGAGGAGGAGCGCCCGUAGUCAAGCCCCGGGGAUGUAGCCAUAUCGGUGAACCUCGUUAACAAAUCUCGAUGUCUUGUUCGUGUGAUUGCUUGGUCCUCGGUAGAUGGACGGAAUGCCUCGGAUUAAUUCUAACACCAUGCCAUGAUGAUGUGCAGGUUGCCUUAGCUUUAACAUUAAACCGUCCCACUAUGUUUGCUAUGUUUUAUUAUCUGCAUAGUUUCCUUUUUUGCUUUGAUGGAAGAGUGAUUAGUUUGCUCGCUGAAUCAGGUCAUCUUUGCUGACAGGACGGACAUUCAUGGAUGGAAGCACAAGCGAGCUAUCAUGUGAUGGGCCCUUAAGAGAUCCAUAUGCUGUCUUCUGUCGGGUCAGUUGCCUGUACUAAAAUGCAGAACUGGCUCUGAUGGGCCCCAUGUUUGAGGUUGAGACUUGAGAGCCUGGGCCAUCAAGUAGCGUUCUCCCAUGCAUUGAUGGCUCUCCUCCCUUGAAACGUGUCGAUGCAGGGAGGGCACACCUGGGCACAGUGGGCUCUGCUCCUGGGUGAAGUUCUCAAGGUCAUAUGGCUGUUUGUUACUCCCUCCAUUCCACAAUAUAGUGCUUCCUCUAUCCCCGUGCUUCAACUUUGACCGUAAAUUUAACUAUCAAGACCGAUUGCGGCGGGAGCAAAAAAUAUAUCAGUGAAUUCGUAUUCGAAAGAAGUUUUCAAUUAUAUAAUUUUUUCUUCCGCCGCAGUUGGUCUCAUUGGUUAAAUUUAUGGUCAAAAUUGGACCUCGGGAAGCGCCGGCGCACUAUAUUUUGGAAUGGAGGGAGUACUAGAAGACUUCCCAAUUCUGGAAUGUGUAGGAUCUUCGUUAUUGAUUAGUGUGUGUUGAUUCAUGGGAAUCAUUAGG